AUGCUGAUAGUAUAACUACUGUACAACUGCCUUCCAAGCAUAAAGACCAAAACCGAGGUCAGCAUA
Molecule: transfer RNA, 66 nt
Filed under: Quadrula quadrula (mapleleaf mussel)
Lineage: Eukaryota; Metazoa; Mollusca; Bivalvia; Unionida; Unionidae
Description: tRNA-Gly
Source: RNAcentral